Molecule: ribosomal RNA, 460 nt
Filed under: uncultured bacterium
Lineage: Bacteria
Description: SSU rRNA
Rfam family: Bacterial small subunit ribosomal RNA
Source: RNAcentral
AGAAUCAACGCUGGCGGCGUGCCUAACACAUGCAAGUCGAACGAGAAAGUGGAGCAAUCCAUGAGUACAGUGGCGUACGGGUGAGUAACACGUGACUACCUACCCUCGAGUGGGGAAUAACCUCGGGAAACCGGGGCUAAUACCGCAUAAUGUCUUCGGACCAAAUGCGUAAGCAGCUUGAGGAGAGGGUCGCGGCCGAUUAGCUAGUUGGUGAGGUAAUGGCCCACCAAGGCAAUGAUCGGUAGCCGGCCUGAGAGGGCGCACGGCCACACUGGAACUGAAACACGGUCCAGACUCCUACGGGAGGCAGCAGUGGGGAAUUUUGCGCAAUGGGGGAAACCCUGACGCAGCAACGCCGCGUGGAGGAUGAAGCCCCUUGGGGUGUAAACUCCUUUCGAUCGGGACGAUUAUGACGGUACCGGAUGGAAGAAGCACCGGCUAACUCUGUGCCAGCAGCCGC